AUUGAACGCUGGCGGCAGGCCUAACACAUGCAAGUCGAGCGAGCGGCGGACGGGUGAGUAAUGGCUGGGAAACUGCCUGAUGGAGGGGGAUAACUACUGGAAACGGUAGCUAAUACCGCAUACCAUCAGAUUUGCCCAGAUGGGAUUAGCUAGUAGGUGGGGUAACUGCUAACCUAGGCGACGAUCCCUAGCUGGUCUGAGAGGAUGACCAGCCACACUGGAACGGAGACACGGUCCAGACUCCUACGGGAGGCAGCAGUGGGGAAUAUUGGACAAUGGGCGAAAGCCUGAUGCAGCCAUGCCGCGUGUGUGAAGAAGGCUUUCGGGUUGUAAAGCACUUUUAGCGGGGAGGCGUUACCCGAAGAAGAAGCCCCGGCUAACUCCGUGCCAGCAGCCGCGGUAAUAC
RNAcentral lists this ribosomal RNA (406 nucleotides) under uncultured bacterium. RNAcentral describes it as "partial 16S ribosomal RNA". It matches the Rfam family "Bacterial small subunit ribosomal RNA", at positions 30 to 526 of the family's 1533-position model. The record is from RNAcentral.